RNAcentral lists this ribosomal RNA (253 nucleotides) under uncultured bacterium. RNAcentral describes it as "partial 16S ribosomal RNA". It matches the Rfam family "Bacterial small subunit ribosomal RNA", at positions 524 to 776 of the family's 1533-position model. The record is from RNAcentral.
UACAGAGGGGGCAAGCGUUGUUCGGAAUUACUGGGCGUAAAGGGUUCGUAGGUGGCUGGCUAAGUCAGACGUGAAAUCCCUCAGCUUAACUGGGGAACUGCGUCUGAGACUGGUCAGCUUGAGUGCAGGAGAGGAACGCGGAAUUCCAGGUGUAGCGGUGAAAUGCGUAGAUAUCUGGAGGAACACCGGUGGCGAAGGCGGCGUUCUGGACUGUAACUAACACUGAGGAACGAAAGCCAGGGGAGCAAACGGG